RNAcentral lists this long non-coding RNA (3687 nucleotides) under Mytilus galloprovincialis (Mediterranean mussel). The record is from RNAcentral. Lineage: Eukaryota; Metazoa; Mollusca; Bivalvia; Mytilida; Mytilidae.
CUUAUAACGGACUGAUCUAAAAUCACGUACUGUUAUGUGUAUGACCACUCUGUCAGCUGACAAGUAAGUACGUUAUAUCAUUGACUAAUCUACUUUACUUUAAAUAUCAAUUAUCAUCAAUUAUAGUAAAAAACAUCAUCAGGGUUUGUUUUUUUUUCUUAACUUAAACAUAAUUCUAUACUAUAUUGGGAAAACGGUAGUAUUUAGUCUCUCCUAGACGACAAUACUUAAAUAUCUGAAUUAACCAAUAUUUAUAACUACAAAAUGGUCAGAAAAGUAAUGUCUUGUAAUAAUAUUUUAUUAAUCUGUUUUAGAAAUAAAAGUCUAUCGGUAUCAUGACUAACUUCGAAUAAAGCUUGUUUAUUGUAUCCAUUGCCACCAUUAUUUAACAUAAAAAUUUGAUAGUCUUUUUAAUAACAUUCUCAAACAAAAUAUUAAAUGUGUUUUAAAAUUUAUACAGCUCAAUUAUGUAUUCCAACUAUUUGAAAAUAAAUUUAAAAACAAAAGAUAAUCCAUAAGAUCUAAAUAAAAAGCUCAAAAAGUAACUUCCAUCACAUGCUAUGGGUUAAAAUAAGUUCAACAUAAAUGCUGAGAAGUGUAAUACUGAAGUUAGUUUUCUCUGUAAGAAUAUGAUGUAUUUCUCAUAAAUAUAUUAGUACAUCGUUUCCGUCCGGAAUUCCACAUAUUAUUGUAUGGUUUCUACUAAACGUUAAUGUUACUUUAUUUUAACAAAACAAUUUAAUAUAUGAACACUAUUCUCUUACAUAUGAAAACAAGAAUUGAAUCUGACAUUGAAUUUUACCCAUACAAUCAUUUGUAGUAGGAUUGAUUCUAUAUUAAGGGGGAUCGCGGGUAUAAAUCAACAACAAAAAAUAAGGAUUUCGCUAUAUUCGUCUUUUAAAAUUUUAUUUAUUUUUUGAUAGUUUUUGAGAACUUUAACAGGUCAAUGAUAAAGAUAUGAAAAAUCAAGAGAGAACAUUUUCCCGCCAAAAUUUCAAUGGCUAAUAUCUGAAAACAAGCACAUUGACCCCUAUAUUUAUUUUUAUUUUUGACUCAAUAAUUAAUCCCCUAUCAAUAUACACUAGUGUUAAGGAAAGUUGUUUCUUUUAAACUGAGCAGUGAACUUCCUUAAGAAGUCUAGAUUUCGACUUUAAGCACAUACUUAAUAAAUGAAUAAUUGAACCACUAAAUAAACUCAUCAUAGAUACCAGGAUAAAAAUUUUGUAUUUAACGCACUUUAAAACUAAAAAAAUAUAUUUGUAAAGUUCAAGUUUUUGAAUGAGGUCAUAUCAAUUUAGUUUAUGAAGUGUUCUUUGCCCUAAGAUUCUUAAUAAUAUAUACAUUAAAGUGUUCGUAGUUACACAUUAAUCAUUUUAAAUCUUAUCUACACCACUGGGUUGAUGCCACUGCUGGUGGACGUUUCGUCCCCGAGGGUAUCACCAGCCCAGUAGUCAACACUUCGGUGUUGACAUGAAUAUCAAUAAUGUGGUCAUUUUUAUAAAUUUCCUGUUUACCAAACUUUGAAAUUUUCGAAAACUAAAGAUUUUCUUAUUCCAGGCAUAGAUUACCUUAGCCGUAUUUGGCACAACUUUUUUGGAAUUUUGGAACCUCAAUGCUCUUCAACUUUGUACUUGUUUGGCUUUAUAAAUAUUUUGAUAUGAGCUUAACUGAUGAGUCUUAUGUAGACGAAACGCGCGUCUGGCGUACUAAAUUAUAAUCCUGGUACCUUUGAUAACUUUUUAUCAUUAUAUUUUCUAUCAGGACAAUUCUUAUUAUUUGUAUAUUUUUUUUUUAAACUUUCGGUUUCACGUUAUUUAAUUGAUAAAUAUAUGUAGUAAUGGUUUCUUCUGUGAUUAGUAGGCAAGGUUUCUUUUUCCCUUCAUUGUGUAUACAUAGAUUCCAGGAGAUGAUAUGAUUGAAUAUAUGAUUAUCUGUUUCUUGUUUUCUAAGUAUUAGUUAUUAAUAUCGGCUGUUCGUCUUCCUAGUUUUAACGCCAUGAUAUACAUUGUUAGAUGAUACUAAGAAGGUGUUCUAAAUGAAACAGGACAGAAAACAGUAAGAAAAAGAUAAAAGACGAAACCAAAGAUAACAAAGAAUUUCUUACCGGUCUUAUAGUUUGGGUAAGUUGCAGUCGGUGAAAAUUAACCUUUCUAAUUGCUAUGCUGUAAAAUGUACUCAGUCACUUUCACUUUUAUCGCUUCAAACUCAAUGAAUAAGUUUGAUUUUACUUUCAGUUUGUUUCUAAUAAUUUUUCUUUCGAUAAUAUAUUAAUAAUAAAGUUAUUAUAUUAAGUAAUUAAUUUUAAAAAGUAUUUGGCACAACUUUUUGGAAUUUUGUGUAGACGAAACGCACGUCUGGCGUAUUAAAAUUAUAAUCCUGGUACCUUUGAUAACUAUGAAUCUUGAUAUAUUUCCUAUUUCAAUAGGAGUCUUUGAUGUUGAUUGACAAUACAAUCGCUGUUCGUUAUUCCAAAGAGUAUACUAUCAUAAAGUCAUUAAUGUUUGAAUAAUCGUGUUGUCUUUACAUUAUACAGUUAUGAUAAAUGUUUAAAUCAUGCUUUCCGAACAUCAUAAUGUACAACAUGUUCAUAAUAUCUGUGUUUUUUUCAACUUAUUUUGAGGAAAAUAACACAUUAUAUAGUUCUGGGAUAUUCCCUCUUCAUGAUAAGUCAUCAUUAUAAGAUAGUUUCUGUCAUGUAUAUCCUAAUAUCAUAAUUAAUGUCACAAUAUUUUGUGAAUUUAAUUACAUUGAACACAUGUUUUGGAUCUAAAUAUGUAAACAGUUUGAGAGCGUUAAAAAUUUAUAUAUCAGGUCAACCUUGUAUGAAGAUGAUGCGUAACCGAAUGGGAAGUUAACAAAGGGAUAUCAAAGAUCAUAAGUCCAAAACAAACUGACACAAACCGAAAUCGACUAAAAGACAAAAAACAGGCUUCAAAGUAAUACAUAGACAACUAAAAACCAAGGAACACAGUUUUGAUAAAUUGAUUUUCCCAACAAAAUGUAUCAUUUGAAUAAUGAAAGUACCAUUGAACUGACUAAAUAUAAAAGUGACAGUAAUAACAUAUGUAUACCAUUUUUGUGCCAUAUAAACUGUUGUCGACAAUAUCGGGAACAAGCGACACACUAUGCCAAAGCCGAACACAUAAAACAAGAGAGCUUACAAUAUAGAGGGACCUGCAUAAACAAUGCUUUGAUUAUUGAUAUAUAAGAUAUUGAUAUCAAAACUAAAAUGUGUAUUUGCUUAAAAAAGUCCUGAACUCAGAAAAAUAAAGUUUAGCUCCCAUCUUGAUGAGUAACCAAUGUUCGUCUUCAUACUAUAUUGUAUUCUUUGAUACUUUUUUUUACUGUUUCUCCAUUCUAAUCUAGCUUUUGUAGUUUUAUUCUUAUACCAAUCACGAUGGCAAACGUCAAUAUCAAUAUCUCUUACCUUUCAGACAUAUAAUCCUCCCUUUUUUGUCUCUUUUGCUAAUAGAAUAGUUAUAAACUAAACAAAAUCAUAGUGUUUUACUUUUUGCAGAUUGCAACUGAUAAGAAACAAUAAUGUCAAACCCUCAACACAAAUUCUUUAACAACAUCAGUUACAAGUCAGAUAAAACCGAUUCAAUCUAUGAGGAGGUACCUUCAGAAAAUCAUUCAACAGAGUACGAUGAAAUAAAAUUAGUGUAUAAGAAAGAUCAUUCCAAUGAU